UUUUUUUUAAGUUAGAAAAUUAAGUUAUAUUUUUAUGAUAGAUUUUUAAGUAUGAUUGUUAAGUUAGAAAAUUAAGUUAUAUUUUUAAGUUAGAUUUUUUAGUUAGAUUGUUAAGUUAGAUUUUUAAGUUAUAUUUUUAAGUUAGAUUUUUAAGUUAGAUUUUUUUAAGUUAGAUUUUUGUAUAUGUGUCCCCUCCGCCGUCCCGCCGCCGUGACCGCCGCCGUCACAACCUAGUAGGCACCGCCCGUGGUUCCGGGGAACCGUCCCCGCCUACGCCGUACCGCCGCCCUGACCGCCGCCGUCACAACCUAGGCACUGCCCGUGGUUCCAGGGAACCGUCCUCGCCUCCGCCGCCCUGACCGCCGCC
This 367-nucleotide long non-coding RNA is filed under the name Setaria viridis. RNAcentral's name for it is "long non-coding RNA (SVIR_LNC009290)". Lineage: Eukaryota; Viridiplantae; Streptophyta; Magnoliopsida; Poales; Poaceae. The record is from RNAcentral.